ACUCAAAUGAAUUGACGGGGACUUGCACAAGCAGUGGAUUAUGUGGUUUAAUUCGAUGAUAAACGAAGAACCUUACCAAGAUUUGAAACCUAACUGAAUAUUUUUGGAAACAGAAAUAGUCUCACAAGGACAGUUAGGCAGGUGAUGCAUGGCCGUCGUCAGUUCGUAGUUUGAACCGUUCCCUUAAGUGGGGUAACGAACGCAACCCUCGUUGUCUGUUACACGUAUCAGGCGAGACUGCCCAGCUUUUAGUUUUCAAAAUAAAAUUUGAAAGUUAAAAGCUGGGAGGAAGGCGAGGAUGACGCCAGGUCAGCAUGUCCCUCUGAUAUCUUGGGCUACACACAUAAUACAAUGGCGAACACAACGGGUCGCGACGGGGAAACCCUGAGCCAAUCCUAAUAAAAGUCGCCUCAGUUCAGAUUGGGGGCUGCAACUCGACCCCAUGAAGUUGGAAUUGCUAGUAAUCGCGGGUCAGCUAUACCGCGGUGAAUACGUUCUCAAGUCUUGUACACACCGCCCGU
Molecule: ribosomal RNA, 521 nt
Filed under: uncultured bacterium
Lineage: Bacteria
Description: partial 16S ribosomal RNA
Rfam family: Bacterial small subunit ribosomal RNA
Source: RNAcentral